RNAcentral lists this ribosomal RNA (475 nucleotides) under uncultured Desulfobulbus sp. RNAcentral's name for it is "bacterial SSU rRNA". It matches the Rfam family "Bacterial small subunit ribosomal RNA", at positions 916 to 1381 of the family's 1533-position model. Lineage: Bacteria; Pseudomonadati; Thermodesulfobacteriota; Desulfobulbia; Desulfobulbales; Desulfobulbaceae. The record is from RNAcentral.
GACGGGGCCCGCACAAGCGGUGGAGUAUGUGGUUUAAUUCGAUGCAACGCGAAGAACCUUACCUGGUCUUGACAUCCCGGAGACCCUUAGGAAACUAGGGGGUGCUUCCAUCUGGAAGAAUCUGGAGACAGGUGCUGCAUGGCUGUCGUCAGCUCGUGUCGCGAGAUGUUGGGUUAAGUCCCGCAACGAGCGCAACCCUUGCCUUUAGUUGCCAGCAGUUCGGCUGGGCACUCUAAAGGGACUGCCGGUGUUAAACCGGAGGAAGGUGGGGAUGACGUCAAGUCCUCAUGGCCUUUAUGACCAGGGCUACACACGUACUACAAUGGCCGAUACAAAGGGCAGCGACACUGCGAGGUGAAGCCAAUCCCGUAAAAUCGGUCUCAGUCCGGAUUGGAGUCUGCAACUCGACUGCGUGAAGUCGGAAUCGCUAGUAAUCGUGAAUCAGAAUGUCACGGUGAAUACGUUCCCGGGCCUU